CCUACGGGAGACAGCAGUAGGGAAUCUUCCACAAUGGGCGAAAGCCUGAUGGAGCAACGCCGCGUGGGUGAAGAAGGUCUUCGGAUCGUAAAACCCUGUUGUUAGAGAAGAAAGUGCGUGAGAGUAACUGUUCACGUUUCGACGGUAUCUAACCAGAAAGCCACGGCUAACUACGUGCCAGCAGCCGCGGUAAUACGUAGGUGGCAAGCGUUAUCCGGAUUUAUUGGGCGUAAAGGUAACGCAGGCGGUCUUUUAAGUCUGAUGUGAAAGCCUUCGGCUUAACCGGAGUAGUGCAUUGGAAACUGGGAGACGUGAGUGCAGAAGAGGAGAGUGGAACUCCAUGUGUAGCGGGGAAAUGCGUAGAUAUAUGGAAGAACACCAGUGGCGAAAGCGGCUCUCUGGUCUGUAACUGACGCUGAGGUUCGAAAGCGUGGGUAGCAAACAGGAUUAGAUACCCUUGUAGUC
This 465-nucleotide ribosomal RNA is filed under the name uncultured bacterium. Its description in RNAcentral is "partial 16S ribosomal RNA". It matches the Rfam family "Bacterial small subunit ribosomal RNA", at positions 338 to 795 of the family's 1533-position model. The record is from RNAcentral.